AGAGUUUGAUCAUGGCUCAGGACGAACGCUGACGGUGUGCUUUAGGCAUGCAAGUCGAACGAGAAAGCCCUUCGGGGUGAGUAGAGUGGCGAACGGGUGAGUAACACGUGGGCAACCUGCCCCUCGCAGGGGGAUAACCGGAGGAAACUCCGGCUAAUACCCCGUAAGCUUUCAGGGUCGCAUGGCCCUGUAAGGAAAGGUAGCUUCGGCCAUCCGGCGAGGGAUGGGCCCGCGGUGCAUUAGCUAGUUGGUGGGGUAACGGCCCACCAAGGCGACGAUGCGUAGCUGGUCUGAGAGGAUGAUCAGCCACACUGGGACUGAGACACGGCCCAGACUCCUACGGGAGGCAGCAGCCAGGAAUCUUGGGCAAUGGGCGAAAGCCUGACCCAGCAACACCGUGUGGGCGAUGAAGGCCUUCGGGUCGUAAAGCCCUGUUGAUAGGGACGAAGGGCGAAGGGUUAAUAGCCCCUAGCCUGACGGUACCUUUCGAGGAAGCCCCGGCUAACUACGUGCCAGCAGCCGCGGUAAUACGUAGGGGGCGAGCGUUGUCCGGAAUUAUUGGGCGUAAAGAGCGUGUAGGCGGUUCGGUAAGUCUGCCGUGAAAACCUGAGGCUCAACCUCGGGCGUGCGGUGGAUACUGCCGGGCUAGAGGACGGUAGAGGCGAGUGGAAUUCCCGGUGUAGCGGUGAAAUGCGCAGAUAUCGGGAGGAACACCAGUAGCGAAGGCGGCUCGCUGGGCCGUUCCUGACGCUGAGACGCGAAAGCCAGGGGAGCGAACAGGAUUAGAUACCCCAGUAGUCC
This 801-nucleotide ribosomal RNA is filed under the name uncultured Rubrobacter sp. RNAcentral's name for it is "bacterial SSU rRNA". It matches the Rfam family "Bacterial small subunit ribosomal RNA", at positions 8 to 796 of the family's 1533-position model. Lineage: Bacteria; Bacillati; Actinomycetota; Rubrobacteria; Rubrobacterales; Rubrobacteraceae. The record is from RNAcentral.